RNAcentral lists this long non-coding RNA (970 nucleotides) under Coturnix japonica (Japanese quail). RNAcentral describes it as "lncRNA (ENSCJPG00005010700.1)". The record is from RNAcentral. Lineage: Eukaryota; Metazoa; Chordata; Aves; Galliformes; Phasianidae.
GCUUAUUGCUAGCAUAACUAUGGUUGGUUUUCUUACUGAUGCUGACAGGAUGAAAAUACCUUGGUGCUAAAUGCUGUUUCUUUCACAGGAAGAGACUCUUCAUGUCUGCAGCAGACACUGAAGAGACAAAUGUUACUUCAGAUAACUCCAGUGACAGAACAGGGCAGAAGAGUGAUGGGUUCAGGAAUGCACGCCAGUUCCUCAGCUGCAGUACUACUAUGCUAUUCAUCUCCAUAAAGAGCUCUUUCGAAAGUAUUAUUAAACAGCAGGAAGGAAUGGUGUAUGACAGCUUCAUUAGUCACUACAAGCCAAACCUGGCUGCUUUCUGCUGGGGAUUAUUAGCACAUUCCAAAACAUCCCUGGGUUGAUGGCAUCCAACUUUUUUUCUUUUUCCCUUCAACAUUAUGGAAUGCGGCCAAAUCUCAGUUUGAAAAUCCUGCUAUCAAGUCCUCUCUGGGCUGGGUUAGGCUGUAUUUGUGAAGAGAACCUGGACUCCCUCCUUGGUCGUAAGAGUUCAGAAGCAAUGAAAUAGGUGAUUUGAAAUAUGCAGACACAGGAAAUUAUUUUGUAGAAGUGCAGAAUGUGAUCUUCCCAAGAUAGCAAAUGUCUAUCCCAUGUUACUACAUCCUCUGGGUACCAGAUACAUAACUUUAAGAACUUUGUGUUUGUGUUCACAAAAGGUGCAUCCAGAAGUCAAGAUGAUUUAAGGAUGCUCAUGGUCUCGCUGAGAUUAGUAAAUAUGGGGAUUUGGGCUAGCAUGGCAUUUCAGGCUCUGUGUUGCCCUGAGAUCAAUUCUAUUCUAAGUGAGAUACUUCUGAAUCUUCCUUAAUGGGGGCAUAAGCUGCAGGAUAAGCAUGAUAUGCAGAACUGAGCGCUUGUAUAAGUCUGUUGCUUGAUUUAUUGCUCUUCUGAAAUUAUCCUAGGCUGUUUAUAAAGUGAAUAAACUGACUAAAGAAAAGUAAAAUUAACA